RNAcentral lists this ribosomal RNA (788 nucleotides) under uncultured Neocallimastigales. Its description in RNAcentral is "partial large subunit ribosomal RNA". It matches the Rfam family "Eukaryotic large subunit ribosomal RNA", at positions 24 to 645 of the family's 3401-position model. Lineage: Eukaryota; Fungi; Neocallimastigomycota; Neocallimastigomycetes; Neocallimastigales. The record is from RNAcentral.
UAUCUCUGUAGAGUCUGCAUAUCAAUAAGCGGAGGAAAAGAAACUAACUAGGAUUCCCUCAGUAACGGCGAGUGAAGCGGGAAGAGCUCAAAUUUGAAAUCUUCAAGGUUCUACCUUGACGAAUUGUAGUUUAAAGAAGUGUUUUCUGUUGGAGUUUUGGUAAAAGUUCUUUGGAAUAGGACAUCAUAGAGGGUGAGAAUCCCGUAUUUGACCAUUACUUUCCAGCGUUGUGAUACACUUUCAAAGAGUCGGAUUGUUUGGGAAUGCAGUCCAAAAUGGGUGGUAAAUUUCAUCUAAAGCUAAAUAUUGGCGAGAGACCGAUAGCGAACAAGUACCGUGAGGGAAAGAUGAAAAGAACUUUGAAAAGAGAGUUAAACAGUACGUGAAAUUGUCAAAAGGGAAGCGUUUGACACCAGUGUUGUUUUCUCGAAAAUCAAUUAAAAAGUGGCGAGAUUUCGUGUUGUAUUAGACCUUUAUCAGCUUUACUGUACUUUUUUCCUGUCUUUUUUAAUGCACUUUUCGUUUAACAAGUCAACAUCAAUUUCUUUUGUUGUAAAAGGGUCAUUGGAAGGUGGCUUUCACUUUCGGUAGAAAGUGUUUAUAGCCUUUGGACUUCUGCAAUCGGAGAGAUUGAGGUCUGCAGCGUAGAUCCUUCGGGGUUAGAUAGCAUUAGAUGCUAAGUUAUAGCCUUUUCAUAGACAACUUGUUGACUAUGAUUCAGUCAUGUAGCUUACUCGCUUAUGCGCUAUUUUACCUACGCUUAGGAUGUUGAUCUCUCACAGUCGAGC